Molecule: ribosomal RNA, 423 nt
Filed under: uncultured bacterium
Lineage: Bacteria
Description: bacterial SSU rRNA
Rfam family: Bacterial small subunit ribosomal RNA
Source: RNAcentral
AAGACCUUGCGCUUUUGGAGCGGCCGAUGCCUGAUUAGCUUGUUGGUAAGGUAAAGGCUUACCAAGGCUUCGAUCAGUAGCUGGUCUGAGAGGACGGCCAGCCACACUGGGACUGAGACACGGCCCAGACUCCUACGGGAGGCAGCAGUGGGGAAUUUUGGACAAUGGGGGAAACCCUGAUCCAACCAUGCCGCGUGAGUGAAGAAGGCCUUCGGGUUGUAAAGCUCUUUCAGCCGGAACGAAACGGUUACGGAUAAUACCCGUGACUACUGACGGUACCGGAAGAAGAAGCACCGGCUAACUACGUGCCAGCAGCCGCGGUAAUACGUAGGGUGCGAGCGUUAAUCGGAAUUACUGGGCGUAAAGCGUGCGCAGGUGGUUUUGUAAGUCAGAUGUGAAAGCCCCGGGCUCAACCUGGGAACU